Molecule: ribosomal RNA, 1425 nt
Filed under: metagenome
Description: SSU rRNA
Rfam family: Eukaryotic small subunit ribosomal RNA
Source: RNAcentral
UAACGGGUAACGGGGAAUCAGGGUUCGAUUCCGGAGAGGGAGCCUGAGAAAUGGCUACCACAUCCAAGGAUGGCAGCAGGCGCGCAAAUUACCCACUCCCAGCUUGGGGAGGUAGUGACGAAAAAUAACAAUGCGGGACUCUAAGAGGCCCCGUAAUUGGAAUGAGUACACCUUAAAUCGUUUAACGAGUAUCAAUUGGAGGGCAAGUCUGGUGCCAGCAGCCGCGGUAAUUCCAGCUCCAAUAGCGUAUAUUAAAGUUGCUGCAGUUAAAAAGCUCGUAGUUGGAUCUGGGGCUUGAGGUCGCUGUCUAUCGCUUCGGCGAUGACGGUGAUGCUCAGCUCUGCUUGCCGGUGACUGUUGCGGUGUUCUUCACUGAGCGCUGUAGCAGCACGGCACGUUUACUUUGAAAAAAUUAGAGUGCUCAAAGCGUGCUUGUCGCUUGAAUAAUGUUGCAUGGAAUAAUGGAAUAGGACCUCGGUUCUAUUUUGUUGGUUUUCGGAGCUUGAGGUAAUGAUUAAGAGGGACGAACGGGGGCAUUCGUAUUGCGGUGUUAGAGGUGAAAUUCUUGGAUCGCCGCAAGACGGACUACUGCGAAAGCAUUUGCCAAGAACGCUUUCAUUAAUUAAGAACGAAAGUCAGAGGUUCGAAGACGAUCAGACACCGUCCUAGUUCUGACCAUGAACGAUGCCGACCAGCGAUCCGUAGUGGUUGCUUUAUGGACCCUACGGGCAGCCUCCGGGAAACCAAAGUAUUUGGGUUCCGGGGGAAGUAUGGUUGCAAAGCUGAAACUUAAAGGAAUUGACGGAAGGGCACACCAGGAGUGGAGCCUGCGGCUUAAUUUGACCCAACACGGGAAAACUCACCCGGUCCGGACACCGUAAGGAUUGACAGACUGAUAGCUCUUUCUUGAUUCGGUGGAUGGUGGUGCAUGGCCGUUCUUAGUUGGUGGAGUGAUUUGUCUGGUUAAUUCCGAUAACGAACGAGACUCUAGCCUGCUAAGUAGUGUUGCUAUUGUUAUAUGGUUGACACUUCUUAGAGGGACAAGUGGCAUUUAGCCACGCGAAAUUGAGCAAUAACAGGUCUGUGAUGCCCUUAGAUGUCCGGGGCCGCACGCGCGCUACACUGGAGAAGUCAGCGUGUGUUAUCCAAGUCCGAAAGGACUGGGUAAUCCGUUGAACCUUCUUCGUGCUUGGGACUGUGGCUUGGAACUAUUCCACAUGAACGAGGAAUUCCUAGUAAUUGCAAGUCAUAAGCUUGCGUUGAUUACGUCCCUGCCCUUUGUACACACCGCCCGUCGCUACUACCGAUUGAAUGGUUUAGCAAGGUCCUCGGAUCGUGGCCGUAGGGGCACGCAAGUGUUUCUGCGGUUUGCGAGAAGACGACCAAACUUGAUCAUUUAGAGGAAGAAAAAGUCGUAACAAGGUU